Molecule: long non-coding RNA, 316 nt
Organism: Bombus terrestris (buff-tailed bumblebee)
Lineage: Eukaryota; Metazoa; Arthropoda; Insecta; Hymenoptera; Apidae
Exons: 2
Source: RefSeq, a predicted model, not a curated record
GGAGGAGGAGGAGAAGGAGGAGAAGGAGGAGAGUAAACAACACUAAAAUAUAUCGCAAACGCUGUACCGCUUGCCGUGGAGCAAUUGUAAAUAAGCGGCAAAGCAGGAAGCGAAAUUCGGCCAUUCGGCCAGGUACAGCCGACACCGCGGUGACAAGAACAUUGGCACUUGGAGCACGAGCGAUCGCUCGUCGAUGACGUCCGCUUCUCCGCGCGAUACAAUUGACAAGCGGCGAGCAGCCACUCUUAUCUUAUUUAUCUUUGUAUUCGAGCAAACACGUUGGCUGAAUAAAAAAUUAUUCGUUAUUCUCGAAUAA